AUUGAACGCUGGCGGCAUGCCUUACACAUGCAAGUCGAACGGUAACGGGUCCUUCGGGAUGCCUUCGAGUGGCGAACGGGUGAGUAAUAUAUCGGAACGUGCCCAGUAGUGGGGGAUAACUGCUCGAAAGAGCAGCUAAUACCGCAUACGACCUGAGGGUGAAAGGGGGGGAUCGCAAGACCUCUCGCUAUUGGAGCGGCCGAUAUCAGAUUAGCUAGUUGGUGGGGUAAAGGCCUACCAAGGCAACGAUCUGUAGUUGGUCUGAGAGGACGACCAGCCACACUGGGACUGAGACACGGCCCAGACUCCUACGGGAGGCAGCAGUGGGGAAUUCUGGACAAUGGGCGCAAGCCUGAUCCAGCAAUGCCGCGUGCAGGAAGAAGGCCUUCGGGUUGUAAACUGCUUUUGUCAGGGAAGAAAUCUUCUGGGCUAAUACCCCGGGAGGAUGACGGUACCUGAAGAAUAAGCACCGGCUAACUACGUGCCAGCAGCCGCGGUAAUACGUAGGGUGCGAGCGUUAAUCGGAAUUACUGGGCGUAAAGCGUGCGCAGGCGGCUUUGCAAGACAGAUGUGAAAUCCCCGGGCUCAACCUGGGAACUGCAUUUGUGACUGCAAGGCUAGAGUACGGCAGAGGGGGAUGGAAUUCCGCGCGUAGCAGUGAAAUGCGUAGAUAUGCGGAGGAACACCAAUGGCGAAGGCAAUCCCCUGGGCCUGUACUGACGCUCAUGCACGAAAGCGUGGGGAGCAAACAGGAUUAGAUACCCUGGUAGUCCACGCCCUAAACGAUGUCAACUGGUUGUUGGACGGCUUGCUGUUCAGUAACGAAGCUAACGCGUGAAGUUGACCGCCUGGGGAGUACGGCCGCAAGGUUGAGACUCAAAGGAAUUGACGGGGACCCGCACAAGCGGUGGAUGAUGUGGUUUAAUUCGAUGCAACGCGAAAAACCUUACCUACCCUUGACAUGUCAAGAAUUCUGCAGAGAUGUGGAAGUGCUCGAAAGAGAACUUGAACACAGGUGCUGCAUGGCCGUCGUCAGCUCGUGUCGUGAGAUGUUGGGUUAAGUCCCGCAACGAGCGCAACCCUUGUCAUUAGUUGCUACGCAAGAGCACUCUAAUGAGACUGCCGGUGACAAACCGGAGGAAGGUGGGGAUGACGUCAGGUCCUCAUGGCCCUUAUGGGUAGGGCUACACACGUCAUACAAUGGCCGGUACAGAGGGCUGCCAACCCGCGAGGGGGAGCCAAUCCCAGAAAACCGGUCGUAGUCCGGAUCGUAGUCUGCAACUCGACUGCGUGAAGUCGGAAUCGCUAGUAAUCGCGGAUCAGCUUGCCGCGGUGAAUAAGUUCCCGGGUCU
This 1352-nucleotide ribosomal RNA is filed under the name uncultured bacterium. RNAcentral describes it as "bacterial SSU rRNA". It matches the Rfam family "Bacterial small subunit ribosomal RNA", at positions 28 to 1381 of the family's 1533-position model. The record is from RNAcentral.